RNAcentral lists this ribosomal RNA (3364 nucleotides) under bacterium. RNAcentral describes it as "23S ribosomal RNA". It matches the Rfam family "Bacterial large subunit ribosomal RNA". The record is from RNAcentral.
CUCAUAAGGGUGUAUGGUGGAUGCCUUGGGAUAUUGAGGCGAAGAAGGACGUGGCGUAACUGCGAUAAGCCUCGGGGAGGUGUGUAGCAACCUUUGAUCCGGGGAUUUCCGAAUGGGGAAACCCAACAUGGCCUUAAACCAUGUUACCGCGCUGUUUUACGGCGCGGAGCGAACUCGGCGAAGUGAAACAUCUCAGUAGCCGGAGGAAAAGAGAAAGAUUUUUAUUCCCCCAGUAGCGGCGAGCGAAAAGGGAAGAGCCUAAACUUUUAAAAAUUUUCGCAAGAAAAUUUUUAAAGGGGUUGUAAGAUAAUGACGUCGGAGGAAGCUUGUUUUACAAGCAGAUUCCGGGGAGUGAAAAAGUUAAGACUUCCUUAGUUGAAGGAGGUUGGAAAACCCCACCACAGAGGGUAAUAGUCCCGUAAGCGAAAAGGGUCUUAUACUCCCAGUCAUUAAUCUUGAGUACGGCGAGAAACGAUAAACUCGUCGGAAGCAGGCAGAACUAUUCUGCCAAGGCUAAAUACUCAAUAUCACCGAUAGUGAACUAGUACCGUGAGGGAAAGGUGAAAAGCAGCCCGAUGAGGGCGGUGAAAUAGUACCUGAAACCAUAUACCUACAAAGAGUCGGAGGUCGCCUUUGGCGACUGACGGCGUGCUUUUUGCAGAACGACCCAACGAGUUUUUGCGUUUUCUUUGUCUAAGUCCGACAGGACGGAGGCAGAGGGAAACCGAGUGUGAAUAGCGCGAUUAUAAGAGAACGCAAAAGACCCGAAGCCAAGCGAGCUACCCAUGGCCAGGAUGAAUCCAGAUUAAAAUCUGGAGGAGGUCCGAACCCACCAGCCGAGCAAUACUGGGGGAUGAGUUGUGGGUAGAAGUGAAAAGCUAAUCGAGCUUGGUAAUAGCUGGUUCUCCUCGAAAUAGCUUUAGGGCUAGCCUCUUAUGUUCCUCUUGGGGGUAGAGCACUGAAUGGGUUAAGGUGGCGCAAGCCUACUUACCCAAUCAAACUCCGAAUACCAAGAGUUAAAAUAGGGGAGUAAGACUGCGAGGGCUAAGCUUCGUAGUCAAAAGGGAAACAGCCCAGAUCGUCAUCUAAGGUCCCUAAACUAAGUUAAGUGUGAAAAGAAGUGUUUUGUCUUAGACAGAUGGGAUGUUAGCUUAGAAGUAGCUACCAUUUAAAGAGUGUGUAACAACUCACCAUUCUAUGUCCGCCAAUCGGCGGAAUCUAUGACAAAACGCGCUGAAAAUGUAUCGGGGCUCAAACUUAGUACCGAAGAUACGGAUUUCUCCGCCUCUGGCGGAGAAAUGGUAGAGGAGCAUUUCUUGCGCUGCGAAGCUUCAUUGCAAGAUGGGGUGGAGCGCAAGGAAGAGAGAAUGUUGGGAUGAGUAACCGCAAGUCCGAUGCGAAAUCGGACCACCGAAAACCCAAGGUUUCCUUGGCAAUGGAAAUCAGCCAAGGGUUAGGCGGGCCUAAGGCGAUCCCGAAAGGGGAAGCUGAUGGGCAGGGCGUUAAUAUUCGUCCCCCUCCUCAUUUUGCGAAGGAAUGACGAAAUUUGGUAAUUUGGGCGCGUUAUUGGAUUCGCGUUAUUGGCUCAAGGAUUUCUGUUGGGCAAAUCCGGCAGAACACAAAUUCAAGAGUCAACAAAAGUUUCAGCUUCGGCUGGGACAAUUCAAAUGAGCAAGUUUCCGAGAAAAGUUUCUAGCCUGCCGCAAGACAGAAAAAAUGGGGAGUCCGUACCGUAAACCGACACAGGUGGGUGAGGCGAGAAGCCUAAGGUGAACGGGUGAAACCUCGUUAAGGAACUCGGCAAAACAGCGGCCGUAAGUUCGCGAUAAGGCCUGCCUCGAUUUAUCGAGGCCGCAGCAAAAGAUCCCUAGCGACUGUUUACUAAAAACACAGGUCCCUGCUAACUCGUAAGAGGAUGUAUAGGGGCUGACGCUUGACCAGUGCUAGAAGGUUAACGGUGGGGGUGAGUCUAACGCAAGUUAGACAAGCUCACUGCCCGAAGCCCUAGUGAACGUCGGCGAUAACUAUAAUCGUCCUAAGGUACCGAAAUUCCUUGGCAUGUAAGUUAUGUCCUGCAGGAAAAGCGUAACGACUGGGGAACUGUCUCAACGAGGAGCCCGGUGAAAAUGCAGUGGGGGUGAAGAUGCCCCCUACCUGCGGUAAGACGGAAAGACCCCGGGAGCUUUACUAUAAGUUCUUAUUGGCUUAUCGUUUUGGAUGCGUAGUAUAGUGGGGAGACUGUGAAGUCCCGACUUCGGUUGGGAUGGAGUCGUCAGUGAAAUACCCAUCUUUCAAAACGAUAAAUCUAACCUUUCUUUUCAAAGAAGAAGGGGACAGUGAGUGCUGGGUAGUUUAAGUGGGGCGCUUGCCUCCUAAAAGGUAACGGAGGCGUUUAUCAAGGUCAGCUAGCUCCGGAUGGAAAUCGGAGCGGUAGUGCAAAGGCAAAAGCUGGCUUUACUGCAAGACGGACAUGUCGCGCAGUUGCGAAAGCAGAACUUAGUGAACCGACCCUUGAUUAUAGAAUCGGGGAAGACAUCGGACAAAAGCUACCCCGGGGAUAACAGGCUGGUAGGUGCUGAGAGCCCACAUCGACGCACCUGUUCGGCACCUCGAUGUCGGCUCAUCCUAUCCUGGGGCUGGAGAAGGUCCCAAGGGUUUGGCUGUUCGCCAAUUAAAAGGGUACGUGAGCUGGGUUUAAACCGUCGGCAAAAACUCGUUUCUGUUAGCGAGUUUGGCGGCUUCCGAUAGCGAUAUCGGAAUGAAAAAAUCGACUCAUAUCGGUGAAGUCCUAUCAUUAUAUUAAAAUAUAAACCUGUCGUAUGAUAGGAUAAUACCGAGGGAAGCUGUAAAUUAUUUCUUCUAUUUCGAUUAACAAAAUCAAUUGGUCUUAUUUGGCCGGAUUCUUAGAUGGAGAUGGCAGCAUAACGGAAGAAAAUAAUUUAUUAGCCCCGUAGAGACUUGGUCGAUCUUGGUCGACCAGAGCUUAACUAUUUAUUGUUAGGCUAAUACGUCGAUCUUCUUAUUAACCUAAGAAGGUGGUAUAGUCCAUACACUUAGUAAUAAGUGACAAAUAUGCGUGAGACAGGUUGGACCCUAUCUACCGUAGGCGCAGAUACUUGAGAGAUCUUGUCCCUAGUACGAGAGGACCGGGAUGAACGAACCUCUGGUGUACCAGCUGUCCUGCCAAGGGCACUGCUGGGUAGCUAUGUUCGGCAGAGAUAAGCGCUGAAAGCAUCUAAGCGCGAAGCUCUUCUCAAGAUUAGGUAUCAUAGAUUGGUCGUAGACUACGACCUUGAUAGGCUUCAGGUGGAAGUCCAGUAAUGGAUUAAGCCGAGAAGUACUAAUAAAUCGUUUUGACCUGUUU